AUUGAACGCUGGCGGCAGGCUUAACACAUGCAAGUCGAGCGGUAGCACAGGGGAGCUUGCUCCCUGGGUGACGAGCGGCGGACGGGUGAGUAAUGUCUGGGAAACUGCCUGAUGGAGGGGGAUAACUACUGGAAACGGUAGCUAAUACCGCAUAACGUCGCAAGACCAAAGAGGGGGACCUUCGGGCCUCUUGCCAUCAGAUGUGCCCAGAUGGGAUUAGCUAGUAGGUGGGGUAAUGGCUCACCUAGGCGACGAUCCCUAGCUGGUCUGAGAGGAUGACCAGCCACACUGGAACUGAGACACGGUCCAGACUCCUACGGGAGGCAGCAGUGGGGAAUAUUGCACAAUGGGCGCAAGCCUGAUGCAGCCAUGCCGCGUGUGUGAAGAAGGCCUUCGGGUUGUAAAGCACUUUCAGCGAGGAGGAAGGUGGUGAACUUAAUACGUUCAUCAAUUGACGUUACUCGCAGAAGAAGCACCGGCUAACUCCGUGCCAGCAGCCGCGGUAAUACGGAGGGUGCAAGCGUUAAUCGGAAUUACUGGGCGUAAAGCGCACGCAGGCGGUUUGUUAAGUCAGAUGUGAAAUCCCCGGGCUCAACCUGGGAACUGCAUUUGAAACUGGCAAGCUAGAGUCUCGUAGAGGGGGGGUAGAAUUCCAGGUGUAGCGGUGAAAUGCGUAGAGAUCUGGAGGAAUACCGGUGGCGAAGGCGGCCCCCUGGACGAAGACUGACGCUCAGGUGCGAAAGCGUGGGGAGCAAACAGGAUUGGAUACCCUGGUAGUCCACGCUGUAAACGAUGUCGAUUUGGAGGUUGUGCCCUUGAGGCGUGGCUUCCGGAGCUAACGCGUUAAAUCGACCGCCUGGGGAGUACGGCCGCAAGGUUAAAACUCAAAUGAAUUGACGGGGGCCCGCACAAGCGGUGGAGCAUGUGGUUUAAUUCGAUGCAACGCGAAGAACCUUACCUACUCUUGACACCCAGAGAACUUUCCAGAGAUGGAUUGGUGCCUUCGGGAACUCUGAGACAGGUGCUGCAUGGCUGUCGUCAGCUCGUGUUGUGAAAUGUUGGGUUAAGUCCCGCAACGAGCGCAACCCUUAUCCUUUGUUGCCAGCGGUUCGGCCGGGAACUCAAAGGAGACUGCCAGUGAUAAACUGGAGGAAGGUGGGGAUGACGUCAAGUCAUCAUGGCCCUUACGAGUAGGGCUACACACGUGCUACAAUGGCAUAUACAAAGAGAAGCGACCUCGCGAGAGCAAGCGGACCUCAUAAAGUAUGUCGUAGUCCGGAUUGGAGUCUGCAACUCGACUCCAUGAAGUCGGAAUCGCUAGUAAUCGUAGAUCAGAAUGCUACGGUGAAUACGUUCCCGGGCCU
This 1364-nucleotide ribosomal RNA is filed under the name uncultured bacterium. RNAcentral's name for it is "bacterial SSU rRNA". It matches the Rfam family "Bacterial small subunit ribosomal RNA", at positions 28 to 1381 of the family's 1533-position model. The record is from RNAcentral.